Molecule: long non-coding RNA, 343 nt
Organism: Lathyrus oleraceus (garden pea)
Lineage: Eukaryota; Viridiplantae; Streptophyta; Magnoliopsida; Fabales; Fabaceae
Exons: 2
Source: RefSeq, a predicted model, not a curated record
AAAAAAAGAGGCAGAACGUGGAAAAGGGCAAAAAGAGAACCAGAGAACAAGGGUUGAAGGGAGGAAAAGCUUGAAGCUGCAGAAUUUGCCGGAUUAACUCAGGUAACAAGCAGUGAGUUGAGUAGAAGCUAUUUUUGAAGUCUAAUGUCGUCUUUAGCGGGUCAUGCUCUGAUAGAUGUAACAUCGGGAGGGGAUGUUUUAAUUAAUUUGAUAUUGGUUGUUGAAUGAUUUACAUGUAUCGUGUUACAUGCUUUACAUUGAUGUUGGAUUUUAUUCCGCUGCGAAUUAUGCAAAAGAACCUUAUUUUGAUUUAAUAAAUGAGCAUGACAGGACAUUUUGAUAA